RNAcentral lists this ribosomal RNA (386 nucleotides) under Heterotermes tenuis. RNAcentral describes it as "partial large subunit ribosomal RNA". Lineage: Eukaryota; Metazoa; Arthropoda; Insecta; Blattodea; Rhinotermitidae. The record is from RNAcentral.
UUAGUUUUUGAAGUAUGGCCUGCCCGCUGACUUUUAGUUGAAGGGCCGCGGUAUUUUGACCGUGCAAAGGUAGCAUAAUCAUUAGUUCUUUAAUUGUGAUCUGGAAUGAAUGGCUUGACGAGAUGCGAGCUGUCUUAAAUUUGAAUGUUUUAUUGAAUUUGGUUUUUGAGUUAAAAUUCUUAGAUGUUUUUAUGGGACGAGAAGACCCUAUAGAGUUUGACAUGUAUGGCUUUCUUGUUUAUUUGUCGUUUGUUUUGUUUUUGAUAAGUGGGCUUUGUGUUUUGUUGGGGUGAUGAGAGGAAUAUAAUUUAACUCCUCUUGGUUUAUUGGUUAUAUUGAUAUAUAUUUAUUUGAUCCAUUUAUUUUGAUUAUAAGAUUAAAUUACC